UGGGGCGUCGACAAGUGGUAAGUCACCGGGUUUUGGUCCCGGCAUUCGCAGGUUCGAAUCCUGCCGCCCCAA
This 72-nucleotide transfer RNA is filed under the name Myxococcota bacterium. RNAcentral describes it as "tRNA-Gln". It matches the Rfam family "tRNA". Rfam says of the family: Transfer RNA (tRNA) molecules are approximately 80 nucleotides in length. Their secondary structure includes four short double-helical elements and three loops (D, anti-codon, and T loops). The record is from RNAcentral. Lineage: Bacteria; Pseudomonadati; Myxococcota.